Onychostoma macrolepis is the source of this 336-nucleotide long non-coding RNA. RefSeq lists it as uncharacterized. The transcript is spliced from 3 exons. The record is from RefSeq and is a predicted model, not a curated record. Lineage: Eukaryota; Metazoa; Chordata; Actinopteri; Cypriniformes; Cyprinidae.
GUCAGCACCUUCCACUCCGUUUAUGGCGCAGUGUACAGAGCAUGACAUCGUAUCUCUCAGGCUGACCCGCUAACAAACACAAAGAUCAGAACACAGCGUCGCUAAAGCCUAGAAAUCAGAUCUGUCAUAUAUAGGGGAUCCAAAUGGAGCGAUGGAGUGUGGAGACAGUGGAGAACUAGGAGUGGAACACAGGUGCAACUAACAGAAUCAUACAAAACCUUCAUGAUCAUGUUUCGGUACUGUCUAUGUCAAUGCAGGAUCUGCUGUGGUUUAUUUAUUUGAAGUCAUACACGGUUGGUGGAGUUAUUUACUCUAAAUAAUGUUAAUGAAAAUGAC